RNAcentral lists this ribosomal RNA (1092 nucleotides) under Psychrobacter glacincola. Its description in RNAcentral is "bacterial SSU rRNA". It matches the Rfam family "Bacterial small subunit ribosomal RNA", at positions 60 to 1145 of the family's 1533-position model. Lineage: Bacteria; Pseudomonadati; Pseudomonadota; Gammaproteobacteria; Moraxellales; Moraxellaceae. The record is from RNAcentral.
AGUCGAGCGGUAACAUUUCUAGCUUGCUAGAAGAUGACGAGCGGCGGACGGGUGAGUAAUACUUAGGAAUCUACCUAGUAGUGGGGGAUAGCUCGGGGAAACUCGAAUUAAUACCGCAUACGACCUACGGGAGAAAGGGGGCAGUUUACUGCUCUCGCUAUUAGAUGAGCCUAAGUCGGAUUAGCUAGAUGGUGGGGUAAAGGCCUACCAUGGCGACGAUCUGUAGCUGGUCUGAGAGGAUGAUCAGCCACACCGGAACUGAGACACGGUCCGGACUCCUACGGGAGGCAGCAGUGGGGAAUAUUGGACAAUGGGGGCAACCCUGAUCCAGCCAUGCCGCGUGUGUGAAGAAGGCCUUUUGGUUGUAAAGCACUUUAAGCAGUGAAGAAGACUCCGUGGUUAAUACCCACGGACGAUGACAUUAGCUGCAGAAUAAGCACCGGCUAACUCUGUGCCAGCAGCCGCGGUAAUACAGAGGGUGCAAGCGUUAAUCGGAAUUACUGGGCGUAAAGCGAGCGUAGGUGGCUUGAUAAGUCAGAUGUGAAAUCCCCGGGCUUAACCUGGGAACUGCAUCUGAUACUGUUAGGCUAGAGUAGGUGAGAGGAAGGUAGAAUUCCAGGUGUAGCGGUGAAAUGCGUAGAGAUCUGGAGGAAUACCGAUGGCGAAGGCAGCCUUCUGGCAUCAUACUGACACUGAGGCUCGAAAGCGUGGGUAGCAAACAGGAUUAGAUACCCUGGUAGUCCACGCCGUAAACGAUGUCUACUAGUCGUUGGGUCCCUUGAGGACUUAGUGACGCAGCUAACGCAAUAAGUAGACCGCCUGGGGAGUACGGCCGCAAGGUUAAAACUCAAAUGAAUUGACGGGGGCCCGCACAAGCGGUGGAGCAUGUGGUUUAAUUCGAUGCAACGCGAAGAACCUUACCUGGUCUUGACAUAUCUAGAAUCCUGCAGAGAUGCGGGAGUGCCUUCGGGAAUUAGAAUACAGGUGCUGCAUGGCUGUCGUCAGCUCGUGUCGUGAGAUGUUGGGUUAAGUCCCGCAACGAGCGCAACCCUUUUCCUUAGUUACCAGCGGGUUAUGCCGGGAACUCUAAGG